Molecule: long non-coding RNA, 1335 nt
Filed under: Homo sapiens (human)
Lineage: Eukaryota; Metazoa; Chordata; Mammalia; Primates; Hominidae
Description: HSALNT0125073
Source: RNAcentral
UUUCUUUUUAAAUGUUUAUGGUAGAAGAACAUCAAGUAUAGUUGUCAACAGACUUCUUAAUAUUACUGGUUGUGCCUGUGCCUCCAAAGCAUGGAUUUGAUAGCUCCAAUAUUGUAAUCUAAAUUUCCUGGGUACCAGUUUUAAUCAUAUGAACUUGCUGAAGUUAACGAAGCAGCUGUCCAGAAGAAUGUCCUGCAUCUUGGGCAAUGCCCCCACUGCUGGAUAGAUUGCUGUUGACAGCUUUUGACCAGAGGGAGCCAUUAGAUUUUGCUGGCUAGCAAACAAUUACAGCUUUGAUAUGAGCUACAAGGCUCUACCUCUCCCCUGAGUAUUAGAAGUCUGAAAAGAAGAGCUGUCUCCAUGAAGAUGGGCCAAAUGCCCUCCCUCCUGUGGCUGAUUGUGCUACAUCAUCCCAACAUGAUAAACCAGAAAUCUUUGACAUUGUGAAGUCAGCAUGUGAUGGUCAUAAGAACACAAGACUUGGGGAAGGUGACAAGCCAGGGUUUAUAUUGAUGCUCUCCAUUGUUAGCUACAUAGUCACAGAAAGUAGCUGACUAUGUUUGAAAGGCAGGUAUUAAAAACAUUACUUUAGGGGAAAGAGGUAUAUAGGUUUUACGUGUCACCACAGAAGGCAAAACUAGGACUUCCUGAUAGAUAUGAUAGGAGUAUAUAUUUUCAACGUAAUACACUGAAAAAUCUUCAUUGAAGCAACUUCAAAAUGAAAUUUAAUGUUUUAUGAAACACAAUUUCUUCAUCCUUAAAUGUAUUUUAGUAGAGAAAAUGUGACUACGAGUUAAAGAAAGAAAUGCAUGUAUCAGAUGAGAAAGAAGGGAGGUUGCAUGAGGAAGCAGCAAAAGAUGUUUCCAAUCUGAGAUUUUCAAAUUCUCUAGUUUUAGUUUAAUUGAAUUGGCUUAAAUUAAACUCUCAUUCAAGUAUAUUUUAUACUUGAAUUUCAGGACUAUAUUCGUUUAUAGAAACAAAGUGUACUAAAUGUAAAACUUCUUUAUCAAAUGGAUAUAUACUAUAAAAUAACUUUCAAACUUAAUUUGUGUAGAAUUUGUACUUGGAUUUAGGGAUGUAUGAGCCAAUAUUAUGUUUAAUUCUUUAGUGGUUGAGAAAAUUUUAAUACAUUUCUUGGGGAAUCUAUACGCAUGUACAUACACAACAGAUUUUGUGAUAAUUCUGUACAACUAUCUACUGCUCUACUUUUCUCAUUGUUCCCAAAUACUGAAAAAUUCAGAACAUUAUAUUUUCUUUGAAAUGAAUAGAUUAUUUAUCAAAGAAAUUACACUAUUAAUCUUAGAGUUUCUAUAGUGAUUCAAACAUCAUUUACAU